Molecule: non-coding RNA, 1246 nt
Organism: Macaca mulatta (Rhesus monkey)
Lineage: Eukaryota; Metazoa; Chordata; Mammalia; Primates; Cercopithecidae
Source: RefSeq, a predicted model, not a curated record
ACAGAGAUGACGGUUCUGGAAAUUAAAGGAGUCAUUGUUUUAUUUACAAUGUGGAGUAAUGGAUUCUUAUUUUUUCCUAUAAUUUUUUUUUCUACCUGGUAGCAAGGCCUCGAGUUUGACUGCAUUUUAACAAGACACAAGAGAAUCAGAGGAAGCUUUUGAUUAGGGCUGGACUUUGUUUUCCAGGCUUGCCGAGACAAAGGGGAAUCAGGCAUGUGAUCUCCUUUUCCAGCUAAUUUCACAGAAGACCUGGAAGAGGAAGGCAGCCUGGAGAGUCCCCAUGAAGGUCCCCACGGGCCCAGAUUUCGCCCUUUUGCUGGCCUGGCCUGAAGGAUCCCAGCAUGCUGCCACCAGGCCACUGCAGCUGUUCACGUGCCCCUGUUUGGGGAAGUGAGGCCUGGGAAAGCAACAGCGCAGGGUUACAGUUUGUCCCACAUCAACGGAAUUUUGACCUGAGAGCUGGCUUCCUCCUCUCAGCAUGCUGGUCCUGGCAAGUCCCAUCACCAGCCAGCCUUCCCAAAGAGGAACGCCUUAGGGUUGGCUCCAGCCCCUCAACUUCCUCUUUCUUCCCUAGUUCCCUUGCAAGGAUGACCCAGGGCCCCCCGCUGGCUCCCAGCAGCUCCAAGAUGGUGGGAAUCUGAAGGAUGGCAGAACAGAACUGGGACCAGUGGUCUGAAGCCAGCAAGAGGCUGAUUUCAGCUCAAAAAAAGUGUCCAGAUUCAACUGAAGCUCUAUUUCUUCAUCCUUUCCCUUCUUCUCCAAAGUGUGUCGUCUACCUCCAGUGGUUCCCUGGCUGAUACAAUGUACAUAAACCAGGUUAAUGACGCUGAAGAUCCCGACUAGAGCACCACAUUCUCAAGUGCACCGUGGGAACUGAUGCUGGCAACGAUGCAUCCGUUUCCUCCAGGGACAUGGUGACCUGAUCUGCCUUCAGCAAAGACACAGCGUACUUCAUCUUGCAUUCUUUUUUCACAAAAGGAGUGGUGAACCCAGAAAUAGGUUGAGUAAUCACUAUCUUGAGAGAGUAUUUGGCAUUUAGAGAAAAACACCAGCUUUGGGAUCAGCCUUCCCCAGCUCUCCUACCUCCCUCUGGCUGAUAUCGGACAAGUUACCACUCUGGGCCUCAAUAUCUUAGUCUGUUAAAUGGGACAAAACAUAUCUAGUCUACAGGGCUUUAAAAAGUAACAAAUUUUAAAUGCCUGGUCCAGAGUAUGUCUUUAAUAAAUCUAAAUUCUCUCCCCCUUUA